This 75-nucleotide transfer RNA is filed under the name Promethearchaeota archaeon. RNAcentral's name for it is "Candidatus Lokiarchaeota archaeon (anaerobic digester metagenome) tRNA-Arg". It matches the Rfam family "tRNA". Rfam says of the family: Transfer RNA (tRNA) molecules are approximately 80 nucleotides in length. Their secondary structure includes four short double-helical elements and three loops (D, anti-codon, and T loops). Further hydrogen bonds mediate the characteristic L-shaped molecular structure. tRNAs have two regions of fundamental functional importance: the anti-codon, which is responsible for specific mRNA codon recognition, and the 3' end, to which the tRNAs corresponding amino acid is attached (by aminoacyl-tRNA synthetases). tRNAs cope with the degeneracy of the genetic code in two manners: having more than one tRNA (with a specific anti-codon) for a particular amino acid; and 'wobble' base-pairing, i.e. permitting non-standard base-pairing at the 3rd anti-codon position. The record is from RNAcentral. Lineage: Archaea; Promethearchaeati; Promethearchaeota.
GGGCCUGUCGGUUAGCCAGGAUCGACCACCUGCCUCCUAAGCAGGUUCCCGUGCGUUCGAAUCGCACCAGGCCCG